GGUGAGGUGGCCGAGAGGCUGAAGGCGCUCCCCUGCUAAGGGAGUAUACGGCUUGAUACCGUAUCGAGGGUUCGAAUCCCUCCCUCACCGCCA
Molecule: transfer RNA, 93 nt
Filed under: Vibrio ichthyoenteri
Lineage: Bacteria; Pseudomonadati; Pseudomonadota; Gammaproteobacteria; Vibrionales; Vibrionaceae
Also listed under: 14 other names
Description: tRNA-Ser
Rfam family: tRNA
About the family: Transfer RNA (tRNA) molecules are approximately 80 nucleotides in length.
Source: RNAcentral